RNAcentral lists this transfer RNA (70 nucleotides) under Periscepsia handlirschi. RNAcentral's name for it is "tRNA-Ser". The record is from RNAcentral. Lineage: Eukaryota; Metazoa; Arthropoda; Insecta; Diptera; Tachinidae.
AGAAAUAUAGUAACAAGAGCUACUAACUCUUUAUAAAUGAUUAAUUUCAUUUAUAUUUCUAUAAAUUUAU